AGUCAACAUGCCCAAAGGACGUGGAUAACCUCGGGAAACUGAGGAUAAACCGCGAUAGGCCAAGGUUUCUGGAAUGAGCCAUGACUUAAAUCUAUAUGGCCUUUGGAUUGGACUGCGGCCGAUCAGGCUGUUGGUGAGGUAAUGGCCCACCAAACCUGUUACCGGUACGGGCUUUGAGAGAAGGAGCCCGGAGAUGGGCACUGAGACAAGGGCCCAGGCCCUAUGGGGCGCAGCAGGCGCGAAACCUCUGCAAUAGGCGAAAGCCUGACAGGGUUACUCUGAGUGAUGCCCGCUAAGGGCAUCUUUUGGCACCUCUAAAAAUGGUGCAGAAUAAGGGGUGGGCAAGUCUGGUGUCAGCCGCCGCGGUAAUACCAGCACCCCGAGUGGUCGGGACGAUUAUUGGGCCUAAAGCAUCCGUAGCCGGUUCUGCAAGUCCUCCGUUAAAUCCACCUGCUCAACAGAUGGGCUGCGGAGGAUACCGCAGAGCUAGGAGGCGGGAGAGGCAAACGGUACUCGGUGGGUAGGGGUAAAAUCCAUUGAUCCACUGAAGACCACCAGUGGCGAAGGCGGUUUGCCAGAACGCGCUCGACGGUGAGGGAUGAAAGCUGGGGGAGCAAACCGGAUUAGAUACCCGGGUAGUCCCAGCUGUAAACGAUGCAGACUCGGUGAUGGGUUGGCUUCGAGCCAACCCAGUGCCGCAGGGAAGCCGUUAAGUCUGCCGCCUGGGGAGUACGGUCGCAAGACUGAAACUUAA
This 754-nucleotide ribosomal RNA is filed under the name uncultured archaeon. RNAcentral describes it as "bacterial SSU rRNA". It matches the Rfam family "Archaeal small subunit ribosomal RNA", at positions 102 to 859 of the family's 1478-position model. The record is from RNAcentral.